CGCGUAGGCGGCCGAUUAAGUCGGGGGUGAAAGCCUGUAGCUCAACCACAGAAUUGCCUUCGAUACUGGUUGGCUUGAGACCGGAAGAGGACAGCGGAACUGCGAGUGUAGAGGUGAAAUUCGUAGAUAUUCGCAAGAACACCAGUGGCGAAGGCGGCUCACUGGCCCGAUACUGACGCUGAGGCACGAAAGCGUGGGGAGCAAACA
This 207-nucleotide ribosomal RNA is filed under the name uncultured bacterium. RNAcentral describes it as "partial 16S ribosomal RNA". It matches the Rfam family "Bacterial small subunit ribosomal RNA", at positions 568 to 774 of the family's 1533-position model. The record is from RNAcentral.